Molecule: ribosomal RNA, 492 nt
Filed under: uncultured bacterium
Lineage: Bacteria
Description: partial 16S ribosomal RNA
Rfam family: Bacterial small subunit ribosomal RNA
Source: RNAcentral
AGUGAACGCUGGCGGUAGGCCUAACACAUGCAAGUCGAACGGCAGCACAGUAAGAGCUUGCUCUUACGGGUGGCGAGUGGCGGACGGGUGAGGAAUACAUCGGAAUCUACUUUUUCGUGGGGGAUAACGUAGGGAAACUUACGCUAAUACCGCAUACGACCUACGGGUGAAAGCAGGGGAUCUUCGGACCUUGCGCGAUUGAAUGAGCCGGUGUCGGAUUAGCUAGUUGGCGGGGUAAAGGCCCACCAAGGCGACGGUCCGUAGCUGGUCUGAGAGGAGGAUCAGCCACACUGGAACUGAGACACGGUCCAGACUCCUACGGGAGGCAGCAGUGGGGAAGAUUGGACAAUGGGCGGAAGCCUGAUCCAGCCAUACCGCGUGGGUGAAGAAGGCCUUCGGGUUGUAAAGCCCUUUUGUUGGGAAAGAAAAGCAGCAGGUGAAGACACGGCUGUUCUGACGGUACCCAAAGAAUAAGCACCGGCUAACUUCGUG